RNAcentral lists this ribosomal RNA (301 nucleotides) under uncultured bacterium. RNAcentral describes it as "partial 16S ribosomal RNA". It matches the Rfam family "Bacterial small subunit ribosomal RNA", at positions 509 to 807 of the family's 1533-position model. The record is from RNAcentral.
CAGCCGCCGCGGUAAUACGCAGGGGGCUAGCGUUGCUCGGAAUUACUGGGCGUAAAGGGAGCGUAGGCGGGUCGUUUAGUCAGAGGUGAAAUCCCGGGGCUCAACCUCGGAACUGCCUUUGAUACUGGCGACCUUGAGUAUGGGAGAGGUAAGCGGAACUCCGAGUGUAGAGGUGAAAUUCGUAGAUAUUCGGAAGAACACCAGUGGCGAAGGCAGCUUACUGGCCCAUUACUGACGCUGAGGCUCGAAAGCGUGGGGAGCAAACAGGAUUAGAUACCCGGGUAGUCCCUGUCUCUUAUAC